UAGGGAAUCUUCCACAAUGGACGCAAGUCUGAUGGAGCAACGCCGCGUGAGUGAAGAAGGUUUUCGGACCGUAAAGCUCUGUUGUUGGUGAAGAAGGAUAGAGGUAGUAACUGGCCUUUAUUUGACGGUAAUCAACCAGAAAGUCACGGCUAACUACGUGCCAGCAGCCGCGGUAAUACGUAGGUGGCAAGCGUUGUCCGGAUUUAUUGGGCGUAAAGCGAGCGCAGGCGGAGGAAUAAGUCUGAUGUGAAAGCCCUCGGCUUAACCGAGGAAUUGCAUCGGAAACUGUUUUUCUUGAGUGCAGAAGAGGAGAGUAGAACUCCAUGUGUAGCGGUGGAAUGCGUAGAUAUAUGGAAGAAUACCAGUGGCGAAGGCGGCUCUCUGGUCUGCAACUGACGCUGAGGCUCGAAAGCAUGGGUAGCGAACAGGAUUAGAUACCCUUGGUAGUCCAUGCCGUAAACGAUGAGUGCUAAGUGUUGGGAGGCUUCCGCCUCUCAGUGCUGCAGCUAACGCAUUAAGCACUCCGCCUGGGGGAGUACGACCGCAAGGUUGAAAC
Molecule: ribosomal RNA, 556 nt
Filed under: uncultured bacterium
Lineage: Bacteria
Description: partial 16S ribosomal RNA
Rfam family: Bacterial small subunit ribosomal RNA
Source: RNAcentral